GUCAAGUCAUCAUGGCCCUUAUGACCAGGGCUACACACGUGCUACAAUGGUCGGUACAGAGGGUUGCCAACCCGCGAGGGGGAGCUAAUCCCACAAAGCCGAUCGUAGUCCGGAUCGCAGUCUGCAACUCGACUGCGUGAAGUCGGAAUCGCUAGUAAUCGCGAAUCAGCAAUGUCGCGGUGAAUACGUUCCCGGGUCUU
RNAcentral lists this ribosomal RNA (200 nucleotides) under uncultured organism. RNAcentral's name for it is "partial small subunit ribosomal RNA". It matches the Rfam family "Bacterial small subunit ribosomal RNA", at positions 1184 to 1382 of the family's 1533-position model. The record is from RNAcentral.